RNAcentral lists this ribosomal RNA (449 nucleotides) under Pimelia escalerai. Its description in RNAcentral is "partial large subunit ribosomal RNA". The stretch from base 325 to 449 matches the Rfam family "Bacterial large subunit ribosomal RNA", at positions 2473 to 2597 of the family's 2925-position model. Lineage: Eukaryota; Metazoa; Arthropoda; Insecta; Coleoptera; Tenebrionidae. The record is from RNAcentral.
UUUUGACUGUGCAAAGGUAGCAUAAUCAUUAGUUUUUUGAUUGAAAGCUGGAAUGAAAGGUUUGAUGAGAAAAUAACUGUCUCUGUGUAAAUGUAUUAGAAUUUCAAUUUUAAGUGAAAAAGCUUAAAUUUUUUAUAAAGACGAGAAGACCCUAUAGAGUUUUAUAGUUGAUUAGAUAUAAAAGUUAUUGAAUUUAUUUUUUUAUUUUUAUUUAAUUAUUUUGUUGGGGCGAUGGAAAAAUUUGAAAAACUUUUUUUUGUUUGUAACAUUGAUUUAUGAUUAUUUGAUCCUUUUUUUUGGAUUACAAGAUUAAAUUACCUUAGGGAUAACAGCGUAAUUUUUUUUGGAGAGUUCUUAUCGAUAAAAAAGUUUGCGACCUCGAUGUUGGAUUAAAAUUAAAUUUUGGUGUAGAAGCUAAAAUUUUAGGUCUGUUCGACCUUUGAAAUUUU